CCCAUUCAUUUGGUGUGUGCCGUUUGCACACUACCAUGGAGGCCAUGGAGGAAAAUGAAAAUCCCUUCCCCAAGAAAUCAUCCCUAUUCGAUACUGUCGAAGUUGCUCUUACGAUUCAGGUCUGUUUCAAAACCAUAGCUCGAUUAUCUGGAGCUGUUGAACAAGUUCUUGGUGUUGUUACGGCUGCAUCACCAAUCCAGAUAAUUGUAGGUAGCUUUGUUGCCGAUCAGAAUUAGCCAAAAUCGGCAAAUCAUUUUGAGGCAUCACCUUCCAUCCCAAACAAGUUAGAAAGGCUCUUUCUAUCUCACUAGUCAAGCGCACUAGCUGCAAAGCGCUAUCUAGAAACAGAAAGGCGCUGUCUACCUUAUAGGAUGGAUUAUUACUAUCGGAAAAGAUGAGGGUGAAGUUUUUUAUCCCUUCUCCUGUGUGCACAUACCCUGGUUGAAGAGGAUGAUGAGGAGAAGAUAUGCACAUCCCCCCAGUUGAAGAGGAUGAUGAGGAGAAGACGGGCACAUAUCGGACAAGAAAUUUUCUAGUUUUCCAGAUAGAUUGAGCUAGUUGCAAAACUACACCAAAUAUUUCACGAUUGUGACCAACCAAAUGUUCUUUGGAGCAAAUUUUUCAUAGUAUGUUAUGUUAUAUAACAAUAUUUGGUAAUCAAAUUGGAGUUGAGAGUUAAUUGUGUAUUUUGAUUAGGAAAUGUAAAAUAUUGCGAGAAAUUACAUUUGAGUCUGAUUUGCUAUUCAUCUUUUA
Solanum dulcamara is the source of this 753-nucleotide long non-coding RNA. RefSeq lists it as uncharacterized. The record is from RefSeq and is a predicted model, not a curated record. NCBI's taxonomy places the organism in Eukaryota, Viridiplantae, Streptophyta, Magnoliopsida, Solanales, Solanaceae. The transcript has 2 exons.